GCGGAGGAAAAGAAAAUAACAAUGAUUUCCCUAGUAACGGCGAGUGAAGAGGAAAGAGCUCAAAGUUGGAAACUGUUUGGCUUAGCUAAACCGUAUUGUAAACUGUAGAAACAUUUUCCUGGCACACCAGAUUAAUAAGUCCUUUGGAACAAGGCAUCAUGGAGGGUGAGAAUCCCGUCUUUGAUCUGAGUAGUUGUCUUUUGUGAUAUGUUUUCAAAGAGUCAGGUUGUUUGGGAAUGCAGCCUAAAUUGGGUGGUAAAUCUCACCUAAAGCUAAAUAUUUGCGAGAGACCGAUAGCGAACAAGUACCGUGAGGGAAAGAUGAAAAGAACUUUGAAAAGAGAGUUAAACAGUAUGUGAAAUUGUUAAAAGGGAACCGUUUGGAGCCAGACUGGUUUGACUGUAAUCAACCUAGAAUUCGUUUUGGGUGCACUUGCAGUCUAUACCUGCCAACAACAGUUUGAUUUGGAGGACAAAAUUAAUAGGAAUGUAGCCUCUCGAGGUGUUAUAGACUAUUAUCAUACUCUGGAUUGGACUGAGGAACGCAGCGAAUGCCUUUAGGCAAGAUUGCUGGGUGCUUUCGCUAAUAAAUGUUAGAAUUUCUGCUUCGGGUGGUGCUAAUGUUUAAAGGAGGAACUCAUCUAGUAUAUUUUUUAUUCGCUUAGGUUGUUGGCUUAAUGACUCUAAAUGAC
This 691-nucleotide ribosomal RNA is filed under the name Mucor circinelloides. RNAcentral describes it as "eukaryotic LSU rRNA". It matches the Rfam family "Eukaryotic large subunit ribosomal RNA", at positions 50 to 648 of the family's 3401-position model. The record is from RNAcentral. Lineage: Eukaryota; Fungi; Mucoromycota; Mucoromycetes; Mucorales; Mucoraceae. RNAcentral also lists the same sequence under 1 other name.